AUACAUGCAAGUCGAACGAUACCAGAGAGCUUGCUUUCUGGGAAAGUGGCGCACGGGUGCGUAACGCGUAUGCAACCUACCUUAAUCAGGGGGAUAGCCUCUCGAAAGAGAGAUUAACACCGCAUAAAAUCACAGUCCGGCAUCGGACAAUGAUCAAAUAUUUAUAGGAUUAAGAUGGGCAUGCGUGACAUUAGCUAGUUGGUAAGGUAACGGCUUACCAAGGCUACGAUGUCUAGGGGAUCUGAGAGGAUGACCCCCCACACUGGUACUGAGACACGGACCAGACUCCUACGGGAGGCAGCAGUAAGGAAUAUUGGUCAAUGGGGGCAACCCUGAACCAGCCAUGCCGCGUGCAGGAAGACGGCCCUACGGGUUGUAAACUGCUUUUAUACGGGAAUAAACCCCUUUACGUGUAAAGGGUUGAAUGUACUGUAAGAAUAAGGAUCGGCUAACUCCGUGCCAGCAGCCGCGGUAAUACGGAGGAUCCAAGCGUUAUCCGGAUUUAUUGGGUUUAAAGGGUGCGUAGGCGGCCUAUUAAGUCAGGGGUGAAAGACGGUGGCUCAACCAUCGCAGUGCCCUUGAUACUGAUGGGCUUGAUUACACUUGAGGUAGGCGGAAUGUGACAAGUAGCGGUGAAAUGCAUAGAUA
RNAcentral lists this ribosomal RNA (648 nucleotides) under uncultured bacterium. Its description in RNAcentral is "bacterial SSU rRNA". It matches the Rfam family "Bacterial small subunit ribosomal RNA", at positions 51 to 696 of the family's 1533-position model. The record is from RNAcentral.